GACGAACGCUGGCGGCGUGCUUAACACAUGCAAGUCGAACGGAAAGGCCCUGCUUUUGUGGGGUGCUCGAGUGGCGAACGGGUGAGUAACACGUGAGUAACCUGCCCUUGACUUUGGGAUAACUUCAGGAAACUGGGGCUAAUACCGGAUAGGAGCUCCUGCUGCAUGGUGGGGGUUGGAAAGUUUCGGCGGUUGGGGAUGGACUCGCGGCUUAUCAGCUUGUUGGUGGGGUAGUGGCUUACCAAGGCUUUGACGGGUAGCCGGCCUGAGAGGGUGACCGGCCACAUUGGGACUGAGAUACGCCGCAGACUCCUACGGGCGGCAGCAGUGGGGAAUAUUGCACAGUGAGCGGAAGCCUGAUGCAGCAACGCCGCGUGCGGGAUGACGGCCUUCGGGUUGUAAACCGCUUUCGCCUGUGACGAAGCGUGAGUGACGGUAAUGGGUAAAGAAGCACCGGCUAACUACGUG
Molecule: ribosomal RNA, 468 nt
Filed under: uncultured bacterium
Lineage: Bacteria
Description: partial 16S ribosomal RNA
Rfam family: Bacterial small subunit ribosomal RNA
Source: RNAcentral